This 499-nucleotide ribosomal RNA is filed under the name Saccharomycetes sp. 5B12. RNAcentral's name for it is "eukaryotic LSU rRNA". The stretch from base 122 to 274 matches the Rfam family "5.8S ribosomal RNA". Lineage: Eukaryota; Fungi; Ascomycota; Saccharomycetes. The record is from RNAcentral.
CUGCGGAAGGAUCAUUACUGUGAUUUACUACUACACUGCGUGAGCGGAACGAAAACAACAACACCUAAAAUGUGGAAUAUAGCAUAUAGUCGACAAGAGAAAUCUACGAAAAAACAAACAAAACUUUCAACAACGGAUCUCUUGGUUCUCGCAUCGAUGAAGAGCGCAGCGAAAUGCGAUACCUAGUGUGAAUUGCAGCCAUCGUGAAUCAUCGAGUUCUUGAACGCACAUUGCGCCCCUCGGCAUUCCGGGGGGCAUGCCUGUUUGAGCGUCGUUUCCAUCUUGCGCGUGCGCAGAGUUGGGGGAGCGGAGCGGACGACGUGUAAAGAGCGUCGGAGCUGCGACUCGCCUGAAAGGGAGCGAAGCUGGCCGAGCGAACUAGACUUUUUUUCAGGGACGCUUGGCGGCCGAGAGCGAGUGUUGCGAGACAACAAAAAGCUCGACCUCAAAUCAGGUAGGAAUACCCGCUGAACUUAAGCAUAUCAAUAAGGCGGAGGAA